UAAAGAGCUCGUAGGUGGUUUGUCGCGUUGUUCGUGAAAUCUCACGGCUUAACUGUGAGCGUGCGGGCGAUACGGGCAGACUUGAGUACUGCAGGGGAGACUGGAAUUCCUGGUGUAGCGGUGGAAUGCGCAGAUAUCAGGAGGAACACCGGUGGCGAAGGCGGGUCUCUGGGCAGUAACUGACGCUGAGGAGCGAAAGCGUGGGGAGCGAACAGGAUUAGAUACCCUGGUAGUCCACGCCGUAAACGGUGGGUACUAGGUGUGGGUUUCCUUCCUUGGGAUCCGUGCCGUAGCUAACGCAUUAAGUACCCCGCCUGGGGAGUACGGCCGCAAGGCUAAAACUCAAAGAAAUUGACGGGGGCCCGCACAAGCGGCGGAGCAUGUGGAUUAAUUCGAUGCAACGCGAAGAACCUUACCUGGGUUUGACAUGCACAGGACGCCGGCAGAGAUGUCGGUUCCCUUGUGGCCUGUGUGCAGGUGGUGCAUGGCUGUCGUCAGCUCGUGUCGUGAGAUGUUGGGUUAAGUCCCGCAACGAGCGCAACCCUUGUCUCAUGUUGCCAGCGGGUAAUGCCGGGGACUCGUGAGAGACUGCCGGGGUCAACUCGGAGGAAGGUGGGGAUGACGUCAAGUCAUCAUGCCCCUUAUGUCCAGGGCUUCACACAUGCUACAAUGGCCGGUACAAAGGGCUGCGAUGCCGCGAGGUUAAGCGAAUCCUUUUAAAGCCGGUCUCAGUUCGGAUCGGGGUCUGCAACUCGACCCCGUGAAGUCGGAGUCGCUAGUAAUCGCAG
RNAcentral lists this ribosomal RNA (788 nucleotides) under uncultured Mycobacterium sp. Its description in RNAcentral is "bacterial SSU rRNA". It matches the Rfam family "Bacterial small subunit ribosomal RNA", at positions 561 to 1347 of the family's 1533-position model. Lineage: Bacteria; Bacillati; Actinomycetota; Actinomycetes; Mycobacteriales; Mycobacteriaceae. The record is from RNAcentral.